CCCUUAGAUGUUCUGGGCCGCACGCGCGCUACACUGAUGAAUGCAACGAGCUCUACCCUUGACCGAAAGGCCCGGGUAAACUUGUGAAACUUCAUCGUGAUGGGGAUAGAUUAUUGCAAUUAUUAAUCUUCAACGAGGAAUGCCUAGUAAGCGUGAUUCAUCAAAUCGCGUUGAUUACGUCCCUGCCCUUUGUACACACCGCCCGUCGCUCCUACCGAUUGAAUGUGUUGGUGAGGAGCUCGGAUUGGCAGCAGUUGGUGGUUCGCCACCGGCUAUUGCUGAGAAGUCCUCCAAACCGCCCCAUUUAGAGGAAGGAGAAGUCGUAACA
This 328-nucleotide ribosomal RNA is filed under the name uncultured eukaryote. RNAcentral describes it as "partial 18S ribosomal RNA". It matches the Rfam family "Eukaryotic small subunit ribosomal RNA", at positions 1470 to 1796 of the family's 1831-position model. The record is from RNAcentral.